UCUUCUUUUAAAUAUAUUAUUCAUUUUUUUAAAAAAGUUUAAAAUUUUCUACAUUUUAACUAUUUCCAUUAAUGGGAUUAUUAGUUUGUCACGACCCAUUCCAUGGACCGGACCGGCACUAGGACCUGGGUGGGCUUAAGGCCCCCGAAGCCCGUAGUAAGUCUAUAUUAUGCAAAUCUCAUUUACUAUUCAUAAUUGUGGAUACAGGUCCAAUAAUUUAUUUCAAUUAUGUACCACUAGUACAGUUCAUCUACAACCCACUAGAAUACAAUUAUGGAACUCUACCUGUACAUUUACAUCAUCAUUUAUUUAUCGUUUACAGUCUUCUAUACUUAUGUCUCAACUCCAUAGGAUUUUUCUUUCUUCUAUUACCUGGAAAAAAAAAAAUAGGUAGGCAGGGGUGAGCGCCAAACUCAAUGAGUAGGGUUAGAUAACCCUCUCACCCCACACAAUCAUACAGAUGCUAAAAUAUUUUUAUUUGUUUAUCGAUUAAAUUUAUGAUCAUGCAGUGUCACACAAAUGGCAAUACAACAGCAACCACAAUUAGUAUCACCUUCAUAUAAUCACAUCACGUGGAAAUUAGUCAGUGGCACCACCUAAAACCCCAACGAGCCGUCCUCACACAUGGCUCGCCCUCUCAUACAUGUGCACCAGGGAGCCGACCCCCAUACGGCCAACUGGUCUAAUCCUCACUGACCAGUCCUCUCAUUGUUUUUCCAUUCUCUCUUUUCUUUUCCAUACCAACAGGAGGCAACCCGGCUCACAACAGGAGGCCACCCUGCGGGCUACAAUCAAAUCUAGAUCAUCAGGUACGCAACAACAAUAAGCAAUCCUGUGGUUUUCCAUAUAAUCCAUAUCAUCAGGUGCACACGGGGGCGCCGAUCUCCCAUUUACCCGGCUGACGGUCAAACUCCAUAUCAUAUCAUAUUCAGGAUCCAUAUAACAGACCGUCCUCACAAACCCAUGGUGGUCCACUUCAUCCCAAUUCCACACAAACAAAGCAUAGCAUUUUCACAACACAAUUAAUCAAACAUUGCAAUCAAAUGCAGACAUAUUAAUCAAUUAAACAUCGUAAUGCAAUGCACAAUUAAACAUCCAAAAUCAAUGCAAAUAAAUAAAUAAAUAAAUAGUAUUA
This 1135-nucleotide long non-coding RNA is filed under the name Jatropha curcas. RNAcentral describes it as "long non-coding RNA (JCUR_LNC000132)". Lineage: Eukaryota; Viridiplantae; Streptophyta; Magnoliopsida; Malpighiales; Euphorbiaceae. The record is from RNAcentral.